Molecule: unclassified non-coding RNA, 298 nt
Filed under: uncultured fungus
Lineage: Eukaryota; Fungi
Description: partial contains small subunit ribosomal RNA, internal transcribed spacer 1, and 5.8S ribosomal RNA
Rfam family: Eukaryotic small subunit ribosomal RNA (bases 1-73)
Source: RNAcentral
GCAAACUUGGUCAUUUAGAGGAAGUAAAAGUCGUAACAAGGUUUCCGUAGGUGAACCUGCGGAAGGAUCAUUACUGAGGAAAAAGGUUUGAUUCAUUCAAACUACCUCCCACCCUUUGUUUACUUGCCUGUUUCUUCGGUGAACCGACAGUUCAACUGCCAUCGGCUCAAGCGGAUGAGUGUUUACCGAAGUUUUAUUUCAAAACUCUUUUAUUAGCAGUCUGAAUUUAUAAAUUUGAAAAUAAAUCAAAACUUUCAACAACGGAUCUCUUGGCUCUAGCAUCGAUGAAGAACGCAGC